Molecule: microRNA precursor, 230 nt
Filed under: Oryza sativa (Asian cultivated rice)
Lineage: Eukaryota; Viridiplantae; Streptophyta; Magnoliopsida; Poales; Poaceae
Description: partial microRNA MIR433-438d precursor
Rfam family: MIR812 microRNA precursor family (bases 13-216)
Source: RNAcentral
CCUCCGUCCCAAAAUAAGUGCAGCCAUGAGUUUUCGCGCUCAACUUUGAUCAUCCGUCUUAUUUAAAAUUUUUUUAUAAUUAGCAAUUUUGUUGUUAUAAGAUAAUAAAACAUGAAUAGUACUUUACUCGUGACUUAUGUUUUUAAUUUUUUUUAAAAUUUUUCAAAUAAGACGAAUAAUUAAAGUUGGACACUGAAAACCAUGGCUGCACUUAUUUUGAAACGGAGGGA